Molecule: ribosomal RNA, 913 nt
Filed under: uncultured bacterium
Lineage: Bacteria
Description: bacterial SSU rRNA
Rfam family: Bacterial small subunit ribosomal RNA
Source: RNAcentral
ACGCUGGCGGCGUGCCUAAUACAUGCAAGUAGAACGCUGAAGAGGGGAGCUUGCUCUUCUUGGAUGAGUUGCGAACGGGUGAGUAACGCGUAGGUAACCUGCCUUGUAGCGGGGGAUAACUAUUGGAAACGAUAGCUAAUACCGCAUAACAAUGGAUGACACAUGUCAUUUAUUUGAAAGGGGCAAUUGCUCCACUACAAGAUGGACCUGCGUUGUAUUAGCUAGUAGGUGAGGUAACGGCUCACCUAGGCGACGAUACAUAGCCGACCUGAGAGGGUGAUCGGCCACACUGGGACUGAGACACGGCCCAGACUCCUACGGGAGGCAGCAGUAGGGAAUCUUCGGCAAUGGGGGCAACCCUGACCGAGCAACGCCGCGUGAGUGAAGAAGGUUUUCGGAUCGUAAAGCUCUGUUGUAAGUCAAGAACGAGUGUGAGAGUGGAAAGUUCACACUGUGACGGUAGCUUACCAGAAAGGGACGGCUAACUACGUGCCAGCAGCCGCGGUAAUACGUAGGUCCCGAGCGUUGUCCGGAUUUAUUGGGCGUAAAGCGAGCGCAGGCGGUUUGAUAAGUCUGAAGUUAAAGGCUGUGGCUCAACCAUAGUUCGCUUUGGAAACUGUCAAACUUGAGUGCAGAAGGGGAGAGUGGAAUUCCAUGUGUAGCGGUGAAAUGCGUAGAUAUAUGGAGGAACACCGGUGGCGAAAGCGGCUCUCUGGUCUGUAACUGACGCUGAGGCUCGAAAGCGUGGGGAGCGAACAGGAUUAGAUACCCUGGUAGUCCACGCCGUAAACGAUGAGUGCUAGGUGUUGGAUCCUUUCCGGGAUUCAGUGCCGCAGCUAACGCAUUAAGCACUCCGCCUGGGGAGUACGACCGCAAGGUUGAAACUCAAAGGAAUUGACGGGGGCCCGCACAA